Lolium rigidum is the source of this 702-nucleotide long non-coding RNA. RefSeq lists it as uncharacterized. The record is from RefSeq and is a predicted model, not a curated record. Lineage: Eukaryota; Viridiplantae; Streptophyta; Magnoliopsida; Poales; Poaceae. The transcript has 3 exons.
CCUUGCUCACUCACGCGGCAUGCCUGCUUCCCAUCGACCUAAUGGCCAGAGAAUGACGGGACCAGGCGCCGGAGCCGGAGCAGGUGCCCCAAUUCUCGACGUGCAGGUGGAGGUGGAGGGAGGACGCCGGAGGGAUUCACAACGACGACGAAUUAGAGGCUGCUGGAGGUGGUGCGGCCUAUGAGGACGCGCGGCGGGGGAUGGUGAGCGGACGACAACGGCCGCCGUGCGGACCGACAGAGGCAGGUAGAACCGCUUAGCGAUCAAGUCUCAUUAGGGAGCCGCAGGUUUCGUUCUGCCUCAAGCAGCAGCGGGACCACGCGGCUGGAGCUUGUCCAGACCAGAGGAGGAAGCAGUGUGAUCCAAGGAGGGUGACCGCUGGUACCACCCGAGGUCGACACCAGCUGCAUCUCACGCAGAUCAACCAUGCCCCGAUGCGGCUGCCUUCGCCCCUUUGGGCGCGUAGGCGUCUCGGUCGGUCGCCGCCCAGGCACCAAGUCCAUCAGCAACAUCCCAAAGGAGUAACGUCUUUGUGGCCCGUCAGCAGAUACUCCAACGUUGGAGUCGCUAGAGUAGAAGCAGGCGCUGAACCGUGCAAAGCUGAAGUCGGACACCUUGGCGUGGAGUGAGGAUCUCGUGUUUAUCCUACACUUUCACCAAUUCAUCCUAAAAUAGAGUCUGAAGCACCAUCAACUCAUCUUA